AGAGUUUGAUCCUGGCUCAGGAUGAACGCUAGCUACAGGCUUAACACAUGCAAGUCGAGGGGCAGCAUGGUCUUAGCUUGCUAAGGCCGAUGGCGACCGGCGCACGGGUGAGUAACACGUAUCCAACCUGCCGUCUACUCUUGGACAGCCUUCUGAAAGGAAGAUUAAUACAAGAUGGCAUCAUGAGUCCGCAUGUUCACAUGAUUAAAGGUAUUCCGGUAGACGAUGGGGAUGCGUUCCAUUAGAUAGUAGGCGGGGUAACGGCCCACCUAGUCUUCGAUGGAUAGGGGUUCUGAGAGGAAGGUCCCCCACAUUGGAACUGAGACACGGUCCAAACUCCUACGGGAGGCAGCAGUGAGGAAUAUUGGUCAAUGGGCGAGAGCCUGAACCAGCCAAGUAGCGUGAAGGAUGACUGCCCUAUGGGUUGUAAACUUCUUUUAUAAAGGAAUAAAGUCGGGUAUGGAUACCCGUUUGCAUGUACUUUAUGAAUAAGGAUCGGCUAACUCCGUGCCAGCAGCCGCGGUAAUACGGAGGAUCCGAGCGUUAUCCGGAUUUAUUGGGUUUAAAGGGAGCGUAGAUGGAUGUUUAAGUCAGUUGUGAAAGUUUGCGGCUCAACCGUAAAAUUGCAGUUGAUACUGGAUAUCUUGAGUGCAGUUGAGGCAGGCGGAAUUCGUGGUGUAGCGGUGAAAUGCUUAGAUAUCACGAAGAACUCCGAUUGCGAAGGCAGCCUGCUAAGCUGCAACUGACAUUGAGGCUCGAAAGUGUGGGUAUCAAACAGGAUUAGAUACCCUGGUAGUCCACACGGUAAACGAUGAAUACUCGCUGUUUGCGAUAUACUGCAAGCGGCCAAGCGAAAGCGUUAAGUAUUCCACCUGGGGAGUACGCCGGCAACGGUGAAACUCAAAGGAAUUGACGGGGGCCCGCACAAGCGGAGGAACAUGUGGUUUAAUUCGAUGAUACGCGAGGAACCUUACCCGGGCUUAAAUUGCAGAUGAAUUACGGUGAAAGCCGUAAGCCGCAAGGCAUCUGUGAAGGUGCUGCAUGGUUGUCGUCAGCUCGUGCCGUGAGGUGUCGGCUUAAGUGCCAUAACGAGCGCAACCCUUGUUGUCAGUUACUAACAGGUUCCGCUGAGGACUCUGACAAGACUGCCAUCGUAAGAUGUGAGGAAGGUGGGGAUGACGUCAAAUCAGCACGGCCCUUACGUCCGGGGCUACACACGUGUUACAAUGGGGGGUACAGAGGGCCGCUACCACGCGAGUGGAUGCCAAUCCCCAAAACCUCUCUCAGUUCGGACUGGAGUCUGCAACCCGACUCCACGAAGCUGGAUUCGCUAGUAAUCGCGCAUCAGCCACGGCGCGGUGAAUACGUUCCCGGGCCUUGCACACACCGCCCGUCA
This 1396-nucleotide ribosomal RNA is filed under the name uncultured bacterium. RNAcentral describes it as "16S ribosomal RNA". It matches the Rfam family "Bacterial small subunit ribosomal RNA". The record is from RNAcentral.